UAGGUGGCAAUCGUUGUCCGGAUUUACUGGGCGUAAAGGGAGUGUAGGCGGAUACUUAAGUCAGAUGUGAAAUACCCGGGCUCAACUUGGGUGCUGCAUUUGAAACUGGGUGUCUAGAGUGCAGGAGAGGAAAGUGGAAUUCCUAGUGUAGCGGUGAAAUGCGUAGAGAUUAGGAAGAACACCAGUGGCGAAGGCGACUUUCUGGACUGUAACUGACGCUGAGGCUCGAAAGCGUGGGGAGCAAACAGGA
This 250-nucleotide ribosomal RNA is filed under the name uncultured bacterium. RNAcentral's name for it is "partial 16S ribosomal RNA". It matches the Rfam family "Bacterial small subunit ribosomal RNA", at positions 528 to 777 of the family's 1533-position model. The record is from RNAcentral.